GACGAACGCUGGCGGCGUGCUUAAUACAUGCAAGUGGAGCGACGAACCAGGGCUUGCCCUGGGGCAGAGCCGCGAACGGGUGAGCAACACGUGGGUAACCUGCCUCGAUGACCGGGACAGCCCGAGGAAACUCGGGCUAAUACCGGAUGUGCUCUCCUCACAUCAGUGGGAAGAGGAAAGGAAGCUUCGGCCUCCGCAUCGGGAUGGGCCCGCGGCCCAUUAGCUAGUUGGGGGGUAAUGGCCUACCAAGGCUUCGAUGGGUAGCUGUUCUGAGAGGAAGAUCAGCCACACUGGGACUGAGACACGGCCCAGACUCCUACGGGAGGCAGCAGUAGGGAAUCUUGCGCAAUGCGCGAAAGCGUGACGCAGCAACGCCGCGUGCGGGAAGACGGCCUGG
This 397-nucleotide ribosomal RNA is filed under the name uncultured bacterium. RNAcentral describes it as "bacterial SSU rRNA". It matches the Rfam family "Bacterial small subunit ribosomal RNA", at positions 28 to 419 of the family's 1533-position model. The record is from RNAcentral.